GACGAACGCUGGCGGCGUGCUUAACACAUGCAAGUCGAACGGACAGGCCCUGCUUUUGUGGGGUGCUCGAGUGGCGAACGGGUGAGUAUCACGUGAGUAACCUGCCCUUGACUUUGGGAUAACUUCAGGAAACUGGGGCUCUUACCGGGUAGGAGCUCUUGCUGCAUGGUGGGGGUUGGUAAGUUUCGGCGGUUGGGGAUGGACUGGCGGCUUAUCAGCUUGUUGGUGGGGUAGUGGCUUACAAAGGCUUUGACGGGUAGCCGGCCUGGGAGGGUGGCCAGCGACAAUAGGCCUGCGGUACGGCCCAGACUCCAACGGGAGGCAGCGGUGGAGAGUAUUACGCAGUGGGCGGGAGCCAGAGGCAGCAACGCCGCGUGCGGGAUGACGUGCUUCUGGUUGUAAACCACUGUCGCAUUUGACGAGGCGGGAGUGACGGUAAUGGGUAAAGAAGCACCGGCUAACUACGUG
Molecule: ribosomal RNA, 468 nt
Filed under: uncultured bacterium
Lineage: Bacteria
Description: partial 16S ribosomal RNA
Rfam family: Bacterial small subunit ribosomal RNA
Source: RNAcentral